Molecule: long non-coding RNA, 5151 nt
Filed under: Nicotiana benthamiana
Lineage: Eukaryota; Viridiplantae; Streptophyta; Magnoliopsida; Solanales; Solanaceae
Description: long non-coding RNA (NBEN_LNC031462)
Source: RNAcentral
AUAAGUUAAAUACAUUCAAGAAAUCAACUUGUCAAGCAAUACCUCUUAAAGAGAAAAGUGUUAGAAUUGGUGGCAAUUGGCAAACCCACUUCCAAUAUAGUCAACAAAUUACACCGCCGUCCUCACCAACCAUUGAACCUCACCAACCAUUGAAUGGAGGAGGAGAAUUUGGAAACGACAAUUGUUUUUCACCACCUACCAUCACCAUUCUUUGCUAUAAAAGAGGGAGCUCUCUGCCCUUGAAAUUAUCCCACAAAAUACUACAAGUGCAGUAGUAAUAGAGAGAAAAAAAUUAGAGAGUUGAAUGGGAGAGAAGAGCCGAAGCUCUUGAGUGCAAGGUUCUACAAUUCUGGAAAUUCCAGAAAUUGCAAUCUAGGGUAACUUAGAAAGUGAUUUCAAUUUGGUCGUUGAGUCUUUGUUAUUUCCUAUUUGGUGGUAAAUCCGAAAAUCAAUUUGAUUUUCUGAUUAAUUGUAAUAGUUGUGUGAUUUAUCAAUACAAAGUGUCGAGUUUCUUGUUCGGGCUCAAUCAACGCUUUCAACAAGUGGUAUCAGAGCUUGGUUCGUGAUAGGCGAUGUCAAAAAUGGCGGCUAUAUUUGCACCACAGAUUUUGAAGUUGAACAAGAAGAACUACGGCAAUUGGAGUAACCAGAUGAAACUCUUGCUCGGUGCUAACGACCUAUGGGAGAUCGUUGAAGACGGAUAUUCUGAACCAGAUGAUAAAGCUGCUGAAGAAGCUUUAACAGAUCUUGAAAAGAAGACACUAAAAACUUCUCGCAUGAAGGAUAAGAGGGCCAGACUUCUAAUCCACCAGAAUGUUGAAGAAGACCUAGUUGAAAAGUUUUCUGAAGCAACAUCAGCAAAAGAAGCUUGGACGCUGCUGCAUAAAUCAUUUCAAGGAGUUGUCAAAGUACAAAGACAUCGUAUCCAAACUCUACGUGGAGAGUUCGAGGCAUUGAAGAUGUCCACUUCAGAACCAGUCAUCGACUAUGUCACAAAACUCCAAGGGAUAGUUAAUGAAAUGAAGAGGAAUGGUGAACCUCUUGAGGAGAUCAAGGUCAUUGAAAAGAUCAUGAGAACAUUGCCUCGAAGAUUCAACCACGUCGUCGCCUCAAUAGAAGAGUCAAGAGAUUUUUCCACGAUGACCAUUGACGAUCUACUCGGUUCCCUGCAAGCCCACGAGUACAGAAUGAAUCGUCAAGACGAUUCAGAAAAAGAUGAGCAAGCUUUGCAAAGUAAGCUCACUCUCAAUAAUGACUAUGGAAGCAGUUCCAGUCGAGGAAGAGGCGGUCGUGGAAGAUUCGGAGAUACUCACAACCGUGGCAGACGAGGAGGAGGACCACAAGUCAACCACAAAGAUCAGACAACACAGACUUCAUAUACCAACCCAAGAGCUGGCAGACGCGGUCGUGGUCGCGGUCGCGGAUAUCAAGAUCGUGGCAGAGGAGGUUAUCACCAACGAGGUGAUAAGUCACAGUAUGAGUGUUAUAACUGUGGAGAAUAUGGUCAUUUCAGUUAUGAAUGUACUAAACCAGCCAGACAGGAGAGCAAUCACGUAGCAGCAGUUGAAGAUGAAACUCUGUUGCUGACAUGCAAAGGUAAUGAAGAUGAAAGGAAUAAUGUUUGGUAUCUUGACACAGGUGCAAGAAAUCACAUGUGCGGUACCAAAGAGUUCUUUACAGAACUAAAUCAAGCAGUCCGAGGUGAAGUCAGAUUUGGAGACGCAUCCAAAGUUCAAGUCCAAGGUAAAUGUGUACUAUGUUCCAGCUAUGAAAAAUAACAUCAUUAGUCUUGGACAACUACUGGAGAGAGGCUAUGAAAUCCACAUGAAGGACUACUCGCUUGCCAUCAGAAAUGGAAGUGGAGACAUGAUCGCCAAAGUAAACAUGGCGAAAAACAGGUUGUUCACACUUGACAUCCAGACUCAAACAGCCAAAUGUUUGAAGUCCACACUGGAUGAUAGCUCGUGGCUGUGGCACCUGCGCUUUGGUCAUCUUGGAUUUACCGGCUUGAAGCUGUUGUCAAAAGCUAAUAUGGUGAAAGGGCUACCGGUGAUCGAUGAACCAGAACGAGUGUGUGAAAGCUGUGUCAAAGGCAAACAACACAGGAGUAGCUUUCCAGUCGGACAAUCAUGGAGAGCAAGCAGACCAUUGGAGCUCGUACACACAGACAUAGCAGGCCCGUUUGAUGUCGAGUCAUUUGGCAAGAAAAAGUACUACAUCACUUUCAUUGACGAUUUUUCAAGAAAGUGUUGGGUAUAUUUUCUUCGUCAAAAGUCAGAAGCUCUUGAAAAGUUCAAGGAAUUCAAGGCGAUGGCAAAGAAGCAGAGUGGAGAAUAUCUGACAACCGUCAGAUCAAACAGAGGCGGUGAAUACACAUCAAAUCUUUUCAAAGAAUUUUGCAGGGAAACUGGAAUAGUGCACCAGUUCACAACCGCCUAUACUCCACAACAAAAUGGAAUUGCUGAAAGAAAGAACCGCACAAUUCUUGAUAUGGCAAGGAGCAUGAUGAAGCAAAAGAACCUGUCAAAAGAUUUUUGGGCUGAAGCUGUAAAUUGUGCAGUCUACCUACUCAACCGAUGUCCAACCAAAAGCGUCAGAUUCAAGACUCCAAAUGAAGCAUGGAGCGGCCACAAACCAACUGUCGGACAUCUCAGAAUCUUUGGAUGUAUAGCUUAUGCCCACGUUCCAGUCCAGAAAAGAAAGAAGCUUGAUGAUAAAGGUGUUAAAUGCAUCUUUGUCGGAUAUGCUAAACAAACGAAGGGGUACAAGCUAUAUGAUCCUGUUAACAAGAAGCUCAUAAUUUCCAGAGAUGUCACAUUCGAUGAAGCUGAUCAAUGGAAGUGGACUGAUGAAGAGAAAUCUAUCACAGGAUUAUUCUACGAGGACAAUGAUGCUGAUCCUGAAGAGCCAACUCAAGAAGAUAGUGAUCAGACGCCACCUCCCAGUCCAGAUCAACCAUCUCCUCAAUCAACACCAUCAACAUCAGCAAGCAGUAGCAGUAAUUCAGGGGGAGCUCCAGCUAAAACGAGGAGCUUAAGGAACAUCUAUGACUCAACAGAACCUGUUGAAAUGAUGAAUGAAUACACGUUGUUCUGUCUACUUGCUGAAUGUGAUCCUGUCACAUAUGAGGAAGCUGAAAAAGAUGAGAAGUGGAGAAAAGCUAUGAAUGAAGAGAUAGCUUCAAUCAAAAGGAAUGAUACUUGGGAGUUAACCAACUUACCUGAAGGUCAUCAAGCCAUUGGAGUCAAAUGGGUUUUCAAGACGAAGACAAACCCUGAAGGAAAGGUGGAGAAACACAAGGCGAGACUUGUAGCUAAAGGCUAUAAACAAAAGUACGCCAUUGACUAUGAAGAAAUCUUUGCACCUGUUGCUAGAAUUGAAACCAUCAGACUGCUAAUUGCAUUUGCUGCUCAGAACAAAUGGAGAGUCUACUAGAUGGAUGUGAAGUCAGCAUUCCUAAAUAGCUAUCUUGAAGAAGAAGUCUAUGUUGAGCAACCACUGGGAUAUGUCAAAAGAGGCCAAGAAGAUAAAGUGUAUCACUUGAAAAAGGCUUUAUACGGAUUGAAGCAGGCUCCGCGGGCAUGGAACACCAGAAUUGAUGAAUACUUCCAGAAGAACGGCUUUCAAAAGAGUUCUUACGAGCAUGCCCUCUACACCAAAAGAAAUGAAGCCGGAGAUAUUAUGAUCAUCUGCCUCUACGUAGAUGAUAUGAUAUUGACAGGGAACAAUCCUAGCAUGUUCGAAGAGUUCAAGAAAGCCAUGACCAAAGAAUUUGAAAUGACUGACAUUGGUCAAAUGUCAUAUUUUCUUGGAGUCGAAGUGUUCCAGUCAGAAGAUGGAAUCUUUAUUUCCCAGAAGAAGUACGCGGGCCAAAUUCUGAGAAAAUUCAGAAUGGAGAACUGUAAGCCUAUGUCAACACCAGCUGAAGCAGGAAUGAAGCUUAGAACUGAUUCAGGAAAAGAUCCAGUCGAUCCGACACUAUACAAGAGCUUGGUAGGAAGUCUCAGAAAUCUAACCUUUACAAGGCCAGAUAUCAUGUAUGCAGUCAGGUUAGUAAGCAGAUACAUGGACUCUCUAAAAGAAGACCAUUUUCAAGCCGCAAAGAGAAUCCUAAGGUACAUCAAAGGUACCGUUGGAGAAGGGUUACACUAUACUCACUCUGAAAACUCCAAAUUGAUUGGAUAUUCAGACAGUGACUAUGGUGGAGACUUGGAUAGCAGGAAAAGCACUUCCGGCUACUUGUUCACAAUUGGAUCUGCAGCAUUCUCAUGGUCCUCGAAGAAGCAACAAACUGUUGCACUUUCAACAUGUGAGGCUGAAUACAUGGCAGUGGCGGCUUGUACAUGUCAAGCAAUAUGGCUGAGGAAUAUCAUGAAGGAACUGUUUCAUGAUCAAGAUGGUCCGACACCGAUAUAUGUCGAUAAUAAAUUGACUAUAUCACUUUCAAAGAAUCCAGUGUCCCACAGCAGAAGCAAACACAUUGAUAUGAAGUAUCACUUCGUUAGAGAGCAAGUGAAGGACAAUAUCAUUGAACUAAUUUACUGCAGGACAGAAGACCAAGCUGCCGACAUUUUCACAAAGGCUUUGAAAACUGAAGUGUUCUUGAAACUCAAGCAGAUGCUUGGCAUGGAGAAUUGGGUUUGAGGGGGAGUGUUAGAAUUGGUGGGAAUUGGCAAACCCACUUCCAACAUAGUCAACAAAAUACACCACCGUCCUCACCAACCAUUGAACCUCACCAACCAUUGAAUGGAGGAGGAGAAUUUGGAAACGGCAAGUGUUUUUCACCACCUACCAUCACCAUUCUUUGCUAUAAAAGAGGGAGCUCUCUGCCCUUGAAAUUAUCCCACAAAAAAUACUACAAGUGCAGUAGUAAUAGAGAGAAAAAAAAUUAGAGAGUUGAAUGGGAGAGAAGAGCCGAAGCUCUUGAGUGCAAGGUUCUGCAAUUCUGGAAAUUCCAGAAAUUGCAAUCUAGGGUAACUUAGAAAGUGAUUUCAAUUUGGUCGUUGAGUCUUUGUUAUUUCCUAUUUGGUGGUAAAUCCGAAAAUCAAUUUGAUUUUCUGAUUAAUUAUAAUAGUUGUGUGAUUUAUCAAUACAAUGUGUCGAGUUUCUUGUUCGGGCUCAAUCAACGCUUCCAACAAAAAGCACUUUGAC